RNAcentral lists this ribosomal RNA (468 nucleotides) under uncultured bacterium. RNAcentral's name for it is "partial 16S ribosomal RNA". It matches the Rfam family "Bacterial small subunit ribosomal RNA", at positions 28 to 507 of the family's 1533-position model. The record is from RNAcentral.
GACGAACGCUGGCGGCGUGCUUAACACAUGCAAGUCGAACGGAAAGGCCCUGCUUUUGUGGGGUGCUCGAGUGGCGAACGGGUGAGUAACACGUGAGUAACCUGCCCUUGACUUUGGGAUAACUUCAGGAAACUGGGGCUAAUACCGGAUAGGAGCUCCUGCUGCAUGGUGGGGGUUGGAACGUUUCGGCGGUUGGGGAUGGACUGGCGGCUUAUCAGCUUGUUGGUGGGGUAGUGGCUUACCAAGGCUUUGACGGGUAGCCGGCCUGAGAGGGUGACCGGCCACAUUGGGCCUGCGAUACGGCCCAGACUCCUACGGUAGGCAGCAGGGGGGAAUAUUGCACAAUGGGCGGAAGUCUGAUGCAGCAACGCCGCGUGCGGGAUGACGGCCUUCGGGUUGUAAACCGCUUUCGCCUGUGACGAAGCGUGAGUGACGGUAAUGGGUAAAGAAGCACCGGCUAACUACGUG